This 718-nucleotide unclassified non-coding RNA is filed under the name Hevea brasiliensis (rubber tree). The record is from RNAcentral. Lineage: Eukaryota; Viridiplantae; Streptophyta; Magnoliopsida; Malpighiales; Euphorbiaceae.
UGUGUGUGUGUGUGUGUGUAGUUUACAGCAAAAGUUGCUACCUAAAGCGUCAUGCUCCCCAUGUAUGAACUUUGUUCACUAGAUUGGGAUGAAAAAACAGAGUCUGGCUCAAUGCAUUCAUUAGGCAUAUAUUUUUCGGCUUCUUUUACAGAAGAUAUCAAGAAAAACAAGUGUAUUACAAACUAUCUCAUGAGGGAAAGGAAGACGUAGGAACAAAAAAUAUUAUGGCAGGGCCGUUUAGCUGAAAGGGCGGUAAGGGGUGAGCAUGUGAGAGAAAUAGAAAAAAUGCAGCUGUAAAAGCAUAGCCGAUUGAGACCUAAACAUCACCAAGCUUGAAUUUGUCGAAAUACAUAACACUCAACACAUGCUGUAGCAAGGCAGUUAUAAGGCCAAGUAGUCACAAAGGUACUGUGAUGUUGAUGAAUUAUGUCCGUUAUAUAUAAUCUAAUUUGGCAAUAACCUUGCCUUUUGCAGAACCUUCUCUAUUUAUAUUACUAGAAUCGCCUAUGAAUGGAAUCAACAAGGACAUGCAAGGAAACUGAGUAGAAGACUUACCAAGACUAAUGCAAGCAUAGUUCCUAAAAAACCAAAUAACAAUAAGAUUUAUUAGUGAAUUUUCACUGUUGAAACAAUCAAAUAAUAACUAUUAAUUAUCUUCAUAUAUUGGCGGUGGUUGCUGCAUCAAGUUGUAUGCGCUUGCUUUUCGUUUAUCUUUAUU